GGUUUGGUGGUAUCCUAGUCUUUUUCUCUUAAAAUUUGGCCUUUGGUAUAUAUUUUGUCAUAAGCAUAUAGUAUUUUCAAAAGCACAAAAUAAUAAUUAAAAAGAAAAUAUCUGCAGUAAAGAGAAAAAAAAAAAAAAAACCACGGCCUCCGAAAAAGACUUUUGAAGAAAUUAAAACUGAGUCAAGGAAAAAAAAAAUCAAAACUGAUUCAUCAUAAAUAAAAAAAUUAAAACUGAGUCAAGAAAUAAGACCUAUGGAAAAAGUGAACAAAAAUACCGGGGUGAACGUGCUAUUUCCCCACGAUAACUAUUAUAUAGCAUCAGAUGUCCACCAAACUAUGACCUCGUACUAAAUGUCCAUCAAUUGUAUAUUAAAAACGUAUUUCUC
Molecule: long non-coding RNA, 388 nt
Filed under: Brassica napus (rape)
Lineage: Eukaryota; Viridiplantae; Streptophyta; Magnoliopsida; Brassicales; Brassicaceae
Description: long non-coding RNA (BNAP_LNC007491)
Source: RNAcentral